GAUGAACGCUAGCUACAGGCUUAACACAUGCAAGUCGAGGGGAAACGGCAUUAAGUGCUUGCACUUUUUGGACGUCGACCGGCGCACGGGUGAGUAACGCGUAUCCAACCUCCCCAUGACUAAGGGAUAACCUGCCGAAAGGCAGACUAAUACCUUAUGGUCUUCACUGACGGCAUCAGAUGUGAAGUAAAGAUUUAUCGGUUAUGGAUGGGGAUGCGUCUGAUUAGCUUGUUGGCGGGGUACCGGCCCACCAAGGCAACGAUCAGUAGGGGUUCUGAGAGGAAGGUCCCCGACAUGGGAACUGAGACACGGUCCAAACUCCUACGGGAGGCAGCAGUGAGGAAUAUUGGUCAAUGGGCGAGAGCCUGAACCAGCCAAGUAGCGUGCAGGAUGACGGCCCGAUGGGUUGUAAACUGCUUUUGUAUGGGGAUAAAGUCAAUCACGUGUGAUUGUUUGCAGGUACCAUACGAAUAAGGACCGGCUAAUUCCGUG
This 492-nucleotide ribosomal RNA is filed under the name uncultured bacterium. RNAcentral describes it as "partial 16S ribosomal RNA". It matches the Rfam family "Bacterial small subunit ribosomal RNA", at positions 28 to 507 of the family's 1533-position model. The record is from RNAcentral.